CCUACGGGAGACAGCAGUGGGGAAUUUUGGACAAUGGGCGCAAGCCUGAUCCAGCUAUUCCGCGUGUGGGAAGACGGCCUUCUGGUUGUAAACCCCUUUUGUCGAGGACGAAAGUUCUGUUGAUAAUACCUCUCCGUGAUGACGGUACUCUACGAGUAAGCACCGGCUAACUACGUGCCAGCAGCCGCGGUAAUACGUAGGGGGCGAGCGUUAAUCGGAUUUACUGGGCGUAAAGGGUGUGAAGGCGGUUUUGCAAGAUGGAUGUGAAAGCCCCGGGCUUAACCUGGGAAAGGCAUAGAGGACUGGAAGACUAGAGUGCGUCAGAGGGGGGUGGAAUUCCAAGUGUAGCAGUGAAAUGCGUAGAUAUUUGGAAGAACACCGAUGGCGAAGGCAGCCCCCUGGGACGCAACUGACGCUCAUAUACGAAAGCGUGGGGAGCAAACAGGAUUAGAUACCCCAGUAGUC
This 465-nucleotide ribosomal RNA is filed under the name uncultured bacterium. RNAcentral describes it as "partial 16S ribosomal RNA". It matches the Rfam family "Bacterial small subunit ribosomal RNA", at positions 338 to 795 of the family's 1533-position model. The record is from RNAcentral.